Oncorhynchus tshawytscha (Chinook salmon) is the source of this 2007-nucleotide long non-coding RNA. Lineage: Eukaryota; Metazoa; Chordata; Actinopteri; Salmoniformes; Salmonidae. The record is from Ensembl.
GUUUAUAAUGUGGGAAAAGGGGAACUAAACUAGCUAGGUAUUUGACGAUGGUUGUCAAAGGAAAUAACACGUUCGCGUUAAUUAUAGCUGUAUUGAAACGUACUUUUACUUCCCCAAAUCUUGCAACCUCUCAACGUUACUUAACCCUCACGGUCUUGUGACCAGUUUAUUUGGUCGGAUAUAAUACGUGCGCAAAUGAGUGACACGUGCUUGUUAGUUUGCUGGCUAAAACGAGGUUAGUCAUGUCUGUUUGACUUGCAGCAUACUGUGUUUGUUGGAAAUUGCGUAUGGUAUAUGUUAUUUUAAAUGCAACUGCAACUUCAUUCAAUGCCUCUUUAAAAAAAAAAAAAUGUGUUCAUAUUAUUGCGUCCAGUCAUUUUAAUAUGGGACCUCACUCUUCCCGUAAUGUUACGGCAAUAUUCUUAUUGAAAGACGAAAAUGAUUUAAGUGAUGUGGAAGAAAACUGGGAUCACGUGUUCAACUGCAUGGCUGCUGUUUACGUGCAGUCUGUGCAGAGCAGUAUGAAGGUGGGAUUCGGUACUGUCUGUUUACUACACUGCUCAGACCUGUGUAAACUCGCUGAGAGAACUGGCUGGUGAAAUUCACAUUCAAAACUGCUCAUGUAAAGUGCUGUGUUGGGAACCAAUUGCCAAUUAACUUUGCUGGGGCAGUUGAUCUGCUAUAUAUGGAAAACAUGCCACAUUAUGUAAGCUAAGUAGCCAUAGUGAUGGGAGUUAUGGUUGUCAAAUUUGGCACAACAUUUUUGAGCGGAAAAGCAACAACAAGCUCCUCUUAACCUAUGACCUAUUGGUGGGCGGGCCAGAUUCAGGGUGAUGAUUGGGGAGGAGAGAGGGAGACACCCUCUGGGCGCCACCACAGCUUCUCUGGUGCAUUUCAGGAAUACUGUAGGAACAUUCUGUUCUAGCCAAGUGGAGAGUGAAAAAAUCCAGAAAAGAGCUGUUAAAUUCUACAGCCACCCAAAAGGAAGCGAUUCCCAAACCUUCCAUAACAAAGCCAACACCUACAGACGGAUGAACCUUGAGAAAAGUCCCCAAAGCAAGCUGGUCCUGGGUCUCUGUUCAAACACACCCCACAGAGCCCCAGGACAGCAACACAUUUAGACCCAACCAAAUCAGGAGAAGACAAAGAUUAUUACUUGAAACAUUGCUUAGUUUUUUUUUGUUUAUUCUUUCCAAACUAGAAUGCUCUUUGUCCCAAAACAGAGUACAGCAUUGCAGAAUUCCAGACCACUGACUGACCCAAAAUUUAAGGAGAGCUAUGACUAUGUACAGACUUGGAACACGCAUCAUCUACGACAGGAAGUUCCUGCUGGACUGUCGGAACUCUCCCAUUGCCCGGACUCCUCCAUGCUGCCUGCCCCAGAUCCCAGGGGUGACGGUGCCCGCUCUGCACCCUCUGGGCAAACUACAGGAACUUAAAGAGGAGCUGGAGGAGGAGGAGAAGGACCUGGGAGAUGACAGCCAGUUUGAGAUGGACAUCUGAGCAGCAGCGCAUUGCCUCCUGUGGAGAGAACUGUUUUAUCUUCUAUUCUGACGUCUGAUUGGUCCUUUACAACCAGCAUGCGUCACAUUCACCUUCUUCAACUUCCUUUUUUAAAACCUUUUUGUUGUUGAGGAAACCCCCCAAAAUAAAGAGAAUGGGGACAUGUCGAUCCCUGUGUUAGUAUUAUUUUUAGCACCAGUAUGCGUCAAUGGUUGCAGAUUAGUGUCUGAGCUGCAGGGUUGGAAGAACCAAUACAUUUGUUUGGACUGUUUUUGGUUUGUACAUAAGAGUACAGUACUUUGUAUUUUUUAAAAGGAGAGAGAUGUACGAGAUUUUACAUGAAACAUACAGGGACGGAGGGGUUGGUCAAGACGUCUGACCCUGGCAUAAGGUUAAAGGUCAGAGGUUGGGGUGACUGUUGGACAGGCUCUUCCAUGCAUCUACCUGUGGAGGAGGAACUGAAAUGUAUCAAAGUUCAAAAUAAAAAUCAGUAUAAAACCUAAA